This 285-nucleotide small RNA is filed under the name Enterobacter asburiae. Its description in RNAcentral is "5' ureB small RNA". It matches the Rfam family "5' ureB small RNA". Lineage: Bacteria; Pseudomonadati; Pseudomonadota; Gammaproteobacteria; Enterobacterales; Enterobacteriaceae. The record is from RNAcentral.
UUCUUCCGCCUGCUGCGGGCAGAUCCAGUGGAUGUGGGUGUCGAUCCCGCCGGCGGUGACGAUCUUCCCCUCGGCGGCAAUCACUUCCGUUGCCGCGCCAAUCGGGAUCGUCACGCCGGGCUGAAUGUCCGGGUUCCCGGCUUUGCCGACGGCGAAGAUCCGCCCGUCCUUGACGCCGAUGUCGGCCUUCACGAUCCCCCAGUGAUCGACGAUCAGCGCGUUGGUGAGAACCAGAUCUACGCAGCCGUCAGCGGUCAUCUGCCCCUGGCCCAUGCCGUCGCGGAU